AACAAAGAGCAAAUGUGCUUAAUUUAGUAAACAGCCCAAAAGGAAUAGCUCGACGAGUGUGGAAUUGUAAGUAAAUGCUGGAGGUGGCCUCAAAAAUCCAUCAGUCACCUACAGUCCAGGUCCUACACAUCUAUAAGUACAUGGAAAGUGUGGGUGACAAGUCAAAGCAACAAACUCUGAUUGAUGUUGAUGCAAUUGCAGUCCAGUUGCAAAUGGAAACACUUGAGCUGAUCGCCUGAGUUGUGCAAGCCCAAGUUGUGCCCCACAAAAUGUGACUGAUUACGGUCUUUUGAGUUCAGUUUAGUUUGGUUGAGUUCGGCACAGUCGAGAGAUUUCAGUGCAUAAACACAAAUGGUUCUGGAAAACUUUAAGCUGCUAUUUCUGCUGUCUUCAUUCAGUGCGGUGAAAAUCACAUCCUGGGAAUCGAAACAAAGUCUUCAUUCAGAGUGCUCCUCCCAGCAAAUUGCAGCAAUAAAAUUGAAGAAAUGUCCAAUGGGACUGUGAAAAAUGGACGGGCAAGUGGAAAUAAAAAUGGCAGGAGGACGGGACGAAGAGGAACCCACUGCCAGUCUGUUUGCUCCUGUCAACUUUCAUUCGCAGCCGCCCGUUGCUUACAGAGCCCCAUUUCAGUCAAGUGCCCCCAUAUUUUCCGCAUUUUCCCCGCAUUUCCCCCUCAAUUCGAAGUCAAGCGGAAUAACAACAGCAACACUUGCCGCAGGAUUUUAGGGGAAUGGCGUAAAAAAGCAAAAGUGUCGCCGAGUCCAUAAUGAGCAGCAGAAAUUCGCGUGGCGCCAUAAGUGACAAACGGCCGGGAAAUAGGAGAUCGGCAGGGGUUAUUAUCCAAAAAGGGAGGCAGUGCAUCCAAACUUCUGGCGGAGCAGUGGCAUCAUAUGGCAAAACAUUUGUAAUUUCUCAACCUCUGUCAGAAACAUUAAAGUUCAAGCGAAUUUGGAAUGAAAUACUGUCUCCAACAGGAAAUUCCAAUCAUAUGCAUGCAUCAUCAUUUCGAUACAACCGUAUAAAGUGAACAAAAAUAAUAAAAAGUAAUGUCGAGCCUUUAAAAAUGUUCCAUCCGAACAGACAAAUUUAUGCUUAAGUUCACCUUUUGAUUGCCAAACUUCAUGUCCUCACAUGAAAUCUGGUUAUUUUGGGAAUAUCCCAAAAGCCCGAGCCAGUUAUUUUUGUUAAUCGACCCACGCGCCCUGUAAUCCCAUUUUCAAUUUUCCAUAAACUUGAAACCCUAAGGCAUCCCAGGGUCCUUUCAUCGGAGUCACCUGAUCAGGUUGUAAGCAGACUAAGCAAUCAAAGGACACUGGUCGACAAAAGAAAGGACCUGCUUCUGGUCAUCGUCCAUUGGACGUUGGACGUGGGACAUCGGCCAUCCCAUCAACACAACUAAUCCCCGGCAUUCACCGAAUGAUGGACACAUCUGAUGGAUACUCCAUACCCAUCCCCGUCCCCGUCCCAUGCACUCCGCACUUCAUUUCCUCGGCAAUCCCAGCCUCUCUGUUGUUUCACUUUUUCAUGUCUGAUUACGGCUCAAGGCGUACACUGCGAGAAUAGGUCGCAGCCAGACAGUUGAUUAAUGUAUUUGCGAAUGUAUUACUACCGACGUUGUUGCUAAAUAAUAUUUCAUUUAGAUUAAUAUUUAAUUUCGCAUCUUAACUGACCUAUCUAACUUCCAGUUAUAAUUAAGGCAGUAAUUUCGAAGCGUUUCAGUAACCACUACUCUGAUGUGUUCGAUGUGCUUUUGGCUUGGACAGAUUCCGGAGAUCCCCAUCCGAUGCUGUCCUCCUUCGCAAGGACUCUGUUUAUCCCCGACAAAGAGGACGACGCACUGCCUGCUGAUUGCAGCCGUUACCAUUGAAAGAUGCUGCGGAGCUUAGAACUCGGAGCUCCGGCCUCAGUGUUUAUCUUCCGAGCGAUUCCAGCUGCCUGCUCUUGGAGAGCUAAGCAAACAAGCCGUCGGGCAAAGGGUUCUGUCGUUUAAAUAGCAUCUUGACCGCCCAAUGAAUCAUUCAUUUGCCGCCGAAUCCAAUUAUUGCGCAUACGCCCUGCUGCACGGGCCUAGAACUUAAAGCUGGCGAGCAACGAAGGAAGACCCACUAGUCACAUAAAUAGGUGUCGCCUGCAGCUGGAAAAAUGGAUUCGAUGUCUAGAUCGGAACCGAAAUCUGCCAAUGAUUUAUUAUUCGACCACUUAAUUGCAUAUGGAUAAUGACCUACAAAUGGAAAAUUAUGGCCUUUCAUGGGGAAUUAUCGGGCAAAAGUGCAUGUGAGUCUCUAAUUAUCGAGUUCAUACGUCUGCAGCUGUUUACCCUUGUAAUUAAGGCUUGUUGAAUAGUUAAAUAUUUAUAUACUCCUGCAGAGUUGAGGUAUUCAUAGUCUUCGAGUCAUUUCAACUUAACUUCGUAGGGUAACUUUUGUAAUUAGUGCCUAAAUAUAUGUUCUUUAUUGAUUGGUGAAAUAAAUUUAACUGUAUGCACCAAGUCGAGUCGCAUAUGUAUGAAAAGUAUGCUUUUUCAACUAAUACGAAAAAAUAGCAACAUGAAUUAUUAUACCCGUUACUCGUAGAGUAAAAGGGUAUACUAGAUUCGUUG
Drosophila yakuba is the source of this 2599-nucleotide long non-coding RNA. RefSeq lists it as uncharacterized. The transcript is spliced from 3 exons. NCBI's taxonomy places the organism in Eukaryota, Metazoa, Arthropoda, Insecta, Diptera, Drosophilidae. The record is from RefSeq and is a predicted model, not a curated record.